CUGGUAGGUAAUAUGCUGUACUGUUGUUGACUGUAUGAAGUGGGCGGUUCUGUCCAAUUCAUGUAAUUUCUUCCGGUUGGAAAGAAUUUUCGGCUGUGCUGUGGUUCACAAAAUCAAGACAGUCUGCAAAGGAGGAGGUCGAUCCGGCUGCACUGCUCCUCCUUGUGUGUCUGCGAUGGCGUCGAGCCUUCUGCGUGUGGUGGCUAGCAGCUGCUCUGCUCCACUGUUCAGUGGGGUGGCCUUUGUUUCGCUGCAGGCUAGUGCCCGGUCAGUGAAGGCGCCAUGCCUGCGCUUCUUCAGGACUCAGCAAGCUCUCAACCGCUGCGCCAGUCCAGGUAUUCCCUAUAAGCAGCUGACAGUGGGUGUACCGAAGGAGAUCUUCCAGAAUGAGCGUCGUGUGGCUCUGUCCCCGGCCGGAGUGCAGGCCCUUAUCAAACAGGGCUUCAACGUGGUGGUGGAGUCUGGGGCAGGAGAUCCCUCCAAGUUCCCCGAUCAACACUACAUCCAGGCUGGAGCCACCAUCAAAGAUGUCAAAGAUGUCCUGGCCUCUGAUGUGCUGGUCAAGGUGCGUGCUCCCGUCUUCAACCCUGAGCUGGGAGCCCAUGAGGUGGAGCUGAUGAAGGAGGCAGCCACUCUGUUCAGCUUCAUCUACCCGGCCCAGAACCCUGAGCUGAUGGACAUGCUGUCCCAGAGGAAGGCCACUGUGCUGGCCAUGGACCAGGUGCCCCGUGUCACCAUCGCACAGGGCUACGACGCUCUCAGCUCCAUGGCUAACAUUGCAGGAUACAAAGCUGUGGUGCUGGCAGCCAACAGCUUCGGGCGCUUCUUCACUGGACAGAUCACUGCUGCUGGGAAGGUCCCACCUGCUAAGGUGCUGAUCAUUGGAGGAGGAGUAGCAGGCCUGGCUGCUGCUGGUACUGCCAGAUCCAUGGGUGCUAUCGUCAGGGGCUUUGACACUCGAGCGGCAGCCUUAGAGCAGUUCAAGUCUCUGGGAGCUGAGACUCUGGAGGUGGACAUUAAGGAGGCUGGCGACGGUCAGGGCGGCUACGCCAAGGAGAUGUCCAAGGAGUUCAUCGAGGCUGAGAUGAAGCUGUUUGCUAAGCAGUGUCUGGAAGUAGACAUCCUCAUCAGCACGGCACUCAUCCCCGGUCGCAAGGCUCCCAUCCUGAUCACCAAGGAUAUGGUGGAGAGCAUGAAGGAUGGCUCUGUGGUGGUGGACCUGGCUGCUGAGGCUGGAGGAAACAUUGAGACCACGGUGCCUGGAGAACUGUCUGUACACAAGGGUGUGACCCACAUUGGCUUCACCGACCUUCCCAGCCGCCUGCCCACCCAGUCCAGCACCCUGUACUCAAACAACCUGACCAAACUCAUCCGUGCCAUCAGCCCUUCUACUGAGAACUUCAACUAUGAGGUCAAGGAGAAGUUUAACUACGGAACCAUGGACCAUGUCAUCAGAGGAUCUGUUGUCAUGCAGAAUGGAACCAACCUCUUCCCAGCUCCUCUGCCCGAUAACAUCCCAGUGGCAGCCCCUCCCAAACCCAAGAGCAAGCAGGAGUUGGCUAAGGAGAAGGCUGCUGCCGUGUCCCCCUUCAAGGCUACCCUAACCACCGCUGGCAUGUACACUGGAGGUCUUGGCACCAUGUUAGGCCUGGGCCUAGCUGCGCCCAAUGCAGCCUUCACUCAGAUGGUGACCAUCUUUGGCCUGGCUACCAUUGUGGGCUACCACACGGUGUGGGGGGUGAGCCCAGCCCUUCACUCCCCACUCAUGUCCGUCACCAACGCCAUCUCUGGUCUGACAGCUGUGGGCGGUCUGUCUCUCAUGGGGGGGGAGGCUACGCCCCCUCCUCCUCUGCCGAGACCCUGGCUGUCGCGGCUGCCUUCAUCUCCUCAGUCAACAUCGCUGGUGGUUUCCUGGUCACCAAGAAGAUGUUGGACAUGUUCAAGCGUCCCACUGACCCUCCAGAAUACAACUAUCUCUACUUACUGCCCACCGGGGUGUUCGUUGGGGGUUAUGGAGUUGCCAUGCAGGCUGGCUACAACAUUGAACAGAUGAUGUACCUGGGCUCUGGUAUGUGCUGUGUGGGAGCCCUGGCUGGUCUGUCUAACCAGUCCACUGCCCGUCUGGGUAAUGCCCUGGGUAUGAUGGGGGUGGCGGGGGGCAUCGCUGCCACCCUGGGCUUCCUGAAGCCCACCCCGGAACUCCUGGCACAGAUGAGUGCCGCCAUGGCUGUGGGUGGCACCGCUGGGUUGGGUAUUGCUAGGAAGAUCCAGAUCACUGACCUCCCCCAACUGGUAGCUGCCUUCCACAGCCUGGUGGGUCUGGCUGCAGUGCUCACCUGCGUGGCAGAGUACAUGAUCGAGUACCCUCACUUUGCUACCGACCCGUCUGCCAACCUCACCAAGAUCAUCGCCUACCUGGGCACCUUCAUUGGAGGGGUCACAUUUAGUGGAUCCCUGGUAGCUUAUGGGAAACUGCAAGGUGUGCUGAGCUCCACCCCCCUCCAUCUUCCCGGGCGCCAUGCUAUGAAUGCUGGGCUAAUGGCCUCCAGUGUGGGCCUGAUGAUCCCCUACAUGCUGGACCCCAGCUACACCACAGGCAUCACCUGUCUGGGCUCUGUGUCCGCACUCUCUGCCGUCAUGGGCCUGACUCUGACAGCAGCCAUCGGGGGUGCAGACAUGCCGGUGGUCAUCACGGUGCUGAACAGCUACUCUGGCUGGGCCCUAUGUGCCGAGGGCUUCCUGCUCAACAACAACCUGCUCACCAUCGUAGGCGCCCUCAUCGGCUCCUCAGGGGCCAUUCUCUCGUACAUAAUGUGUGUGGCCAUGAACCGUUCCCUGGCCAAUGUGAUCCUGGGUGGGUACGGUACGUCAUCCACUGGGUCAGGAAAGCCCAUGGAGAUCGUAGGAACACACACAGAGGUCAACGUGGACCAAACUGUUGAAAUGAUCAAAGACGCCCAAAACAUCAUCAUCACUCCAGGUUAUGGUCUGUGUGCUGCCAAGGCCCAGUACCCCAUCGCUGAACUGGUCAAGAUGCUGCAGGAGCAGGGCAAGAAAGUCAGGUUUGGUAUCCACCCCGUGGCUGGUCGUAUGCCUGGGCAGCUCAACGUGCUAUUGGCUGAGGCGGGCGUACCCUAUGACAUCGUGCUGGAGAUGGAGGAGAUCAACGAGGACUUUGCUGAAACGGACCUGGUUCUGGUGAUCGGCGCCAACGACACGGUGAACUCUGCAGCCCUGGAGGAUCCCAACUCCAUCAUCGCUGGCAUGCCUGUCCUGGAAGUGUGGAAGUCCAAACAGGUGGUUGUAAUGAAGCGUUCUCUGGGAGUGGGCUAUGCUGCUGUGGACAACCCCAUCUUCUACAAGCCCAACACAGCCAUGUUGCUUGGAGAUGCCAAGAAGACCUGCGACGCACUGCAGGCUAAAGUCCGCGAGGCCAGCCAGUGAGUCGUGGCUGGUGCAGUAGGACCCGGGACCGUCAGACCGAGGUCCAGGGCAUCACACGUCCAGAGGGGGAGAGGAGUGGGCACAAACAAGCUAAUAGUUAGACGUAGCAUUAAUGUUGUCGUUUCCUCUCCUGGCAACAAGUUUUCCUCCCUUUUUUUCUGAACAGUUUUUUUGCGAUGAUGAUGAGUAGCUGUUCUCUUUCUCACCAGGAGCAUUUUCUUCUCACCCUCUUUUUCAAAGCAAGGAAAAAAGCAAGUGUCACCUUUUUUUACAUUUUAUUUUUAGAUUUUUUAAUGUUUGUUCAUUUUCCAGUUUUAUACUGUAGUUAGAUUUUUUGUAUUUGACCUGACCGAAUCGUACCACAAGUGUCAAAUUGAUUUGCAUUUAGCAACCUUUGCCUAGCAGCAACUGUUAACUUCAAUGUAAAGCCAUUGUCAGUAAUAGUUACUCUAAUCACUAACUGUAUGGGUUGUAUUUUUUCUUGAAUGCGUUUGGUGGACUGUGCUUAGUGUAAUGACCAGCUUUGUGAUGUAGUGGUAAUGUUUUACAUGUGAUUAGAGGCUUCAAGAAGAAGGAUUUAGUGAAUGUAGCUUCAGUUGGCCCUCCGCCACGCAGCUAAGUUUCCCCUUUUAACACUACAGAGAUGUUGAAGGAACCAUGUAGAUUUAAGUUUAAUAAAAGAUGAGUAUCAUAAUAUGAUUGUUAGAAUUUAUCAUAAAUUGUGAGAUUAUGGCUUAAUUUAGCAUGGAUACAUUUAUGAAUUGCUGAUUUGUCAAAUGGUUAGUUAGAGUCCUGCCAUGUCUGUGCCAAGCUCUUUCAUAUAUGCCUUCAUCUAGAAAGAAUCACUGUCUGAUGCGUCCUUACCGGGACCUUAUACAAUGCAACUCUAGAGAAACUGACCAUGACAACAUCCCUACCUCUGCAUAGCUUCCUAAAGCGACCAAAUUCACCUUCCAUUCUCUUCUUCGUAAACCAUUCUCUUCUUCCACUAAUACCGUCUUUCCAGACUUGUAUCUGUCUUGCUAUAUUUAGCUUUGCGUAGAAAGGUUAACAUAUGAAGGGUUGUUAUUCAGGUACACGUGGUGCCAUAGCAGACCUAGUUGGUGUUAAAUUGUAAUUUUCCCCAUUUCUGUCCAGUUUUCAGUCAUGAGGUAAAGUAAAGAACAACUCGAGGGAAACAAUUAUUUUAGAAAAUAAUAGUUGUGAAGAAAUGGCAAAAAAAAUUCCCACAAGUAUUUUUGUAUAGAGAAGAACCUAUUUGUAUAAUUGUUAAGGCUUACGCAGGCUUUGCUGCACAACAUUUUUCUAAUGUUCUAAUUUUCUAAUGUUGGGGAGAUGAAUGAAAUACUGUGAAUGUUUUUCUCUCUGGUUUAUCAUCCCUAAAUAAACCUUGAUUUAAUGGCA
Oncorhynchus gorbuscha (pink salmon) is the source of this 4848-nucleotide RNA transcript. It is a transcript of the gene named NAD(P) transhydrogenase, mitochondrial-like, with no coding region annotated. The record is from RefSeq and is a predicted model, not a curated record. The transcript has 21 exons. Lineage: Eukaryota; Metazoa; Chordata; Actinopteri; Salmoniformes; Salmonidae.